ACACACCGCCCGUCACACCAUGAGAGUUGGGAAUACCCGAAGCCUGUGAGCUAACUUUAGAGGCAGCAGUCGAAGGUAGAAUCAAUGAUUGGGUGAAGUCGUAACAAGGUACC
This 113-nucleotide ribosomal RNA is filed under the name uncultured bacterium. RNAcentral's name for it is "partial 16S ribosomal RNA". It matches the Rfam family "Bacterial small subunit ribosomal RNA", at positions 1385 to 1500 of the family's 1533-position model. The record is from RNAcentral.